GAAUUUGGAUCCCCUGAUAAGAGGUCCGGCGGAUUCUUGAACUCUGCUUUGAUUGCUUUGUUCUAUGUGGCUGUGCUUGCGGGUGUUCUUCAACGGUUCCCUGUUAGCUUUUCACAGCAUCCAGCUGGCCAAAUUAGGAACCGCAAGUCUGGGGGUACUGGAGGUUCUAAAGUGUCCGAGCAAGCAGAAACAAUCACUUUUGCCGAUGUUGCUGGCGUUGAUGAGGCUAAAGAAGAGCUGGAAGAGAUUGUGGAAUUUCUCAGGAAUCCAGACAGAUAUAUAAGACUUGGUGCUCGCCCUCCUCGAGGUGUUCUCUUGGUGGGUCUUCCUGGGACUGGUAAAACUCUUCUUGCAAAGGCUGUUGCUGGAGAAGCAGAAGUUCCAUUUAUUAGUUGUUCUGCAAGUGAAUUUGUAGAAUUAUAUGUUGGCAUGGGCGCCUCCCGUGUGAGAGAUCUCUUUGCUCGGGCAAAGAAGGAAGCACCAUCAAUAAUAUUUAUCGAUGAGAUAGAUGCUGUGGCAAAAAGUCGUGAUGGAAAAUUUCGCAUUGUCAGCAAUGAUGAACGGGAGCAAACUUUGAAUCAAUUGCUCACUGAAAUGGAUGGAUUUGAUAGCAACUCUGCUGUGAUUGUUCUUGGUGCAACAAAUAGAUCAGA
RNAcentral lists this unclassified non-coding RNA (653 nucleotides) under Hevea brasiliensis (rubber tree). The record is from RNAcentral. Lineage: Eukaryota; Viridiplantae; Streptophyta; Magnoliopsida; Malpighiales; Euphorbiaceae.